Molecule: ribosomal RNA, 271 nt
Filed under: uncultured Eubacteriales bacterium
Lineage: Bacteria; Bacillati; Bacillota; Clostridia; Eubacteriales
Description: uncultured Clostridiales bacterium partial 16S ribosomal RNA
Rfam family: Bacterial small subunit ribosomal RNA
Source: RNAcentral
UUUCGGCCAAAUGAUAGGAAUGCUUAGUGGCGGACUGGUGAGUAACGCGUGAGGAACCUGCCUUUCAGAGGGGGACAACAGUUGGAAACGACUGCUAAUACCGCAUGACACUUUUGGGAGACAUCUCCUGAAAGUCAAAGCUUUAUGUGCUGAAAGAUGGCCUCGCGUCUGAUUAGCUAGUUGGUGGGGUAACGGCCUACCAAGGCGACGAUCAGUAGCCGGCCUGAGAGGGUGAACGGCCACAUUGGGACUGGGAUACGGCCCAGACUCC